RNAcentral lists this ribosomal RNA (255 nucleotides) under uncultured prokaryote. RNAcentral's name for it is "partial 16S ribosomal RNA". It matches the Rfam family "Bacterial small subunit ribosomal RNA", at positions 522 to 775 of the family's 1533-position model. The record is from RNAcentral.
AAUACGUAGGGUGCGAGCGUUGUCCGGAAUUAUUGGGCGUAAAGAGCUCGUAGGCGGUGUGUCGCGUCGGCCGUGAAAACCUGGGGCUCAACUCUGGGCGUGCGGUCGAUACGGGCAUCACUUGAGUUCGGCAGGGGAGACUGGAAUUCCUGGUGUAGCGGUGAAAUGCGCAGAUAUCAGGAGGAACACCGGUGGCGAAGGCGGGUCUCUGGGCCGAUACUGACGCUGAGGAGCGAAAGCAUGGGUAGCGAACAG